UCCCUGGUGGUCCAGUGGUUAAGACUUUGCCUUCCAAUGCAGGGAGUGCAGGUUCGAUCCCUGGCCAGGGAG
This 72-nucleotide transfer RNA is filed under the name Ovis aries (sheep). It matches the Rfam family "tRNA". From Rfam's summary of the family: Transfer RNA (tRNA) molecules are approximately 80 nucleotides in length. Their secondary structure includes four short double-helical elements and three loops (D, anti-codon, and T loops). The record is from Rfam by way of RNAcentral. Lineage: Eukaryota; Metazoa; Chordata; Mammalia; Artiodactyla; Bovidae.